UCUAAGCCAUGCGAGUCAUUGUAGCAAUACAAGGCAGACGGCUCAGUAACGCGUAGUCAAUCUACCCUAUGGACGGGAAUAACCUCGGGAAACUGAGAAUAAUGCCCGAUAGAACAUUAUGCCUGGAAUGGUUUAUGUUUCAAAUGAUUUAUCGCCAUAGGAUGGGACUGCGGCCUAUCAGUUUGUUGGUGAGGUAAUGGCCCACCAAGACUAUUACAGGUACGGGCUCUGAGAGGAGUAGCCCGGAGAUGGGUACUGAGACAUGGACCCAGGCCCUAUGGGGCGCAGCAGGCGAGAAAACUUUGCAAUGUGCGAAAGCACGACAAGGUUAAUCCGAGUGGUUUCUGCUAAAGAAACCUUUUGUCAGUCCUAGAAACACUGACGAAUAAGGGGUGGGCAAGUUCUGGUGUCAGCCGCCGCGGUAAAACCAGCACCUCAAGUGGUCAGGAUGAUUAUUGGGCCUAAAGCAUCCGUAGCUCGUUUUGUAAGUUUUCGGUUAAAUCCAUGCGCUUAACGUAUGGGCUGCCGGGAAUACUGCAUAACUAGGAAGUGGGAGAGGUAGACGGUACUCGGUAGGAAGGGGUAAAAUCCUUUGAUCUAUUGAUGACCACCUGUGGCGAAGGCGGUCUACCAGAACACGUUCGACGGUGAGGGAUGAAAGCUGGGGGAGCAAACCGGAUUAGAUACCCGGGUAGUCCCAGCUGUAAACUAUGCAAACUCAGUGAUGCAUUGGCUUGUGGCCAAUGCAGUGCUGCAGGGAAGCCGUUAAGUUUGCCGCCUGGGAAGUACGUACGCAAGUAUGAAACUUAAAGGAAUUGGCGGGGGAGCACCACAAGGGGUGAAGCCUGCGGUUCAAUUGGAGUCAACGCCAGAAAUCUUACCCGGAGAGACAGCAGAAUGAAGGUCAAGCUGAAGACUUUACCAGACAAGCUGAGAGGAGGUGCAUGGCC
This 950-nucleotide ribosomal RNA is filed under the name uncultured archaeon. RNAcentral describes it as "bacterial SSU rRNA". It matches the Rfam family "Archaeal small subunit ribosomal RNA", at positions 43 to 999 of the family's 1478-position model. The record is from RNAcentral.